UGCCGAGUCGUCUAACGGUAGGACAACUGCCUUUGGAGCAGUGAAUUCUAGGUUCGAAUCCUAGCUCGGCAGCAA
RNAcentral lists this transfer RNA (75 nucleotides) under Candidatus Daviesbacteria bacterium RIFCSPHIGHO2_02_FULL_39_12. RNAcentral describes it as "tRNA-Gln". It matches the Rfam family "tRNA". Rfam says of the family: Transfer RNA (tRNA) molecules are approximately 80 nucleotides in length. Their secondary structure includes four short double-helical elements and three loops (D, anti-codon, and T loops). Lineage: Bacteria; Candidatus Daviesiibacteriota. The record is from RNAcentral.